Molecule: long non-coding RNA, 251 nt
Filed under: Vigna radiata
Lineage: Eukaryota; Viridiplantae; Streptophyta; Magnoliopsida; Fabales; Fabaceae
Description: long non-coding RNA (VRAD_LNC003691)
Source: RNAcentral
GAGAUUUAGGGUAUUUUUAGAAUAAAAGAAAAUAAUGGGGAGGUGUAGAGUAUUUGUGGAAUAAAAGAAAAUAGCGGGGAGGUGUAGGAGCACUUGGGGUGGUGGAGAGAGUAACACCCCAAUAAUUAUAAUUUGGCCCAUUCAAUAAAUUAAAAUUAUUGUUGGUCUCUACACAAUAUACCUUUCAUGACAAAUAUACACCCAGCUAUAUUUAUCUUAAUUAAAUCACUUUAUAAAGUUAACUAAUAAAA